RNAcentral lists this ribosomal RNA (1160 nucleotides) under Vibrio harveyi. RNAcentral describes it as "bacterial SSU rRNA". It matches the Rfam family "Bacterial small subunit ribosomal RNA", at positions 284 to 1461 of the family's 1533-position model. Lineage: Bacteria; Pseudomonadati; Pseudomonadota; Gammaproteobacteria; Vibrionales; Vibrionaceae. The record is from RNAcentral.
CUGCUGUUGAGAGAUAUCAGCCACUGAAGUCGGAACCUGUCCAGAUCCUACGGAGCAGCAGUGGGCAUAUGACCAAUUGGGCGCAGCUGAUGCAGCAUGCGCGUAGUGGACGCAUGCCUCCAGACUGUAAGCACUUUCAGUCGUGAGAGUAGGUAGUAGUAUAGCACAUCAUUGGACGUAGCGACAGAAGAAGCAUCUGCUAACUCCGUGCCAGCAGCCGCGGUAAUACGGAGGGGUGCGAGCGGUAAUCGAAUUACUGGGCGUAAAGCGCAUGCAGGUGGUUUGUUAAGUCAGAUGUGAAAGCCCGGGGCUCAACCUCGGAAUAGCAUUUGAAACUGGCAGACUAGAGUACUGUAGAGGGGGGUAGAAUUUCAGGUGUAGCGGUGAAAUGCGUAGAGAUCUGAAGGAAUACCGGUGGCGAAGGCGGCCCCCUGGACAGAUACUGACACUCAGAUGCGAAAGCGUGGGGAGCAAACAGGAUUAGAUACCCUGGUAGUCACGCCGUAAACGAUGUCUACUUGGAGGUUGUGGCCUGAGCCGUGGCUUUCGGAGCUAACGCGUUAAGUAGACCGCCUGGGGAGUACGGUCGCAAGAUUAAAACUCAAAUGAAUUGACGGGGGCCCGCACAAGCGGUGGAGCAUGUGGUUUAAUUCGAUGCAACGCGAAGAACCUUACCUACUCUUGACAUCCAGAGAACUUUCCAGAGAUGGAUUGGUGCCUUCGGGAACUCUGAGACAGGUGCUGCAUGGCUGUCGUCAGCUCGUGUUGUGAAAUGUUGGGUUAAGUCCCGCAACGAGCGCAACCCUUAUCCUUGUUUGCCAGCACUUCGGGUGGGAACUCCAGGGAGACUGCCGGUGAUAAACCGGAGGAAGGUGGGGACGACGUCAAGUCAUCAUGGCCCUUACGAGUAGGGCUACACACGUGCUACAAUGGCGCAUACAGAGGGCGGCCAACUUGCGAGAGUGAGCGAAUCCCAAAAAGUGCGUCGUAGUCCGGAUCGGAGUCUGCAACUCGACUCCGUGAAGUCGGAAUCGCUAGUAAUCGUGGAUCAGAAUGCCACGGUGAAUACGUUCCCGGGCCUUGUACACACCGCCCGUCACACCAUGGGAGUGGGCUGCAAAAGAAGUAGGUAGUUUAACCUUCGGGAGGACGCUACCACU